CCCUUAGAUGUUCUGGGCCGCACGCGCGCUACACUGAUGCAUUCAACGAGUCUAAAACCUGCUCUGAUAGGGGUGGGUAAUCUUUUGAAUGUGCAUCGUGAUUGGGAUAGAUGAUUGCAAUUUUUCAUCUUCAACGAGGAAUGCCUAGUAAACGCAAGUCAUCAGCUUGCAUUGAUUACGUCCCUGCCCUUUGUACACACCGCCCGUCGCUCCUACCGAUUGAAUGAUCCGAUGAAUAUCAUGGAUUGAGGAUGCAAGCAGGUUCGCCUGUCUUCAUCUUCGAGAAGUGAAGUAAAUCUUAUCAUUUAGAGGGAGGAGAAGUCGUAACA
Molecule: ribosomal RNA, 329 nt
Filed under: uncultured eukaryote
Lineage: Eukaryota
Description: partial 18S ribosomal RNA
Rfam family: Eukaryotic small subunit ribosomal RNA
Source: RNAcentral